CGGGGGGAGCAAGCGUUGUUCGGAUUUACUGGGCGCAAAGGGCGCGUAGGCGGCCAGCACAAGUCAGUUGUGAAAUCUCCGGGCUUAACUCGGAAAGGUCAACUGAUACUGUGCGGCUAGAGUGCAGAAGGGGCAACUGGAAUUCUCGGUGUAGCGGUGAAAUGCGUAGAUAUCGAGAGGAACACCUGCGGCGAAGGCGGGUUGCUGGGCUGACACUGACGCUGAUGCGCGAAAGCCAGGGGAGCGAACGGGAUUAGAUACCCCGGUAGUCCUGGCCUUAAACGAUGGAUGCUUGGUGUCUGGAGUUUUAUAGUCUCCGGGUGCCGUAGCUAACGCGUUAAGCAUCCCGCCUGGGGAGUACGGUCGCAAGACUG
Molecule: ribosomal RNA, 374 nt
Filed under: uncultured organism
Description: bacterial SSU rRNA
Rfam family: Bacterial small subunit ribosomal RNA
Source: RNAcentral